This is a long non-coding RNA of Salvia splendens (bonfire salvia), 2700 nucleotides long. RefSeq lists it as uncharacterized. NCBI's taxonomy places the organism in Eukaryota, Viridiplantae, Streptophyta, Magnoliopsida, Lamiales, Lamiaceae. The transcript has 3 exons. The record is from RefSeq and is a predicted model, not a curated record.
AUUGUGGGGAUGCAGUGUUUUUUAUUGCUGCAUCGAGAACGCUGCCACGAAUUCUGCUGGAAGCUUCCCCAAUUACCCUUGUCAUUUUCUCUCCCCACCCUCCUUCUCUCAAAUGUUCAUUUGCAGAACCCAAAUUCAAACUCCAUCAAUCCAAAAAAAAUGUCGUCGUCGUUGUGAAUAGCAUACCUCUCGAACCAAACAUCCUUAAAAAUUGACAAAUUUCACGACUGCUUCAUCAUAUGUUGGGGGUUAAUUAGAAAUAGCUCCAUUCUCUACAAAGGAUUGACUGGUCUGGCUCUUGUUUUCGACAAAUUCCAGCGGCUUGCAGAUCGGGAGAUUUCUUGGGUUACAAAGGUACGUAGUCAUUGUGAUUUGCAACUCUGGUAAUUUUGGGGAUUAGACUGGUUGCAUUGCGGUCCACACAGAGUAGACCGUGUGAUUGCAGACCUACACUGUGAACUACCACUCCGAAUCGCACCGCCGACGGCCGUGAACAAAAUUGACGUAGGUAAUAAGCUCAACCUCUGUUGCGGUGCUAUGUUUUGUGCCAAUUAUCUGGUUUUUGGUCCUCCAACGGUGUGAAUAAUUAUCUAUGACAGCUAUAAAAUACGUUCAAAACAUCUAUAAUGGUUUGGGUCAUGUUUGCUUGCAGAAUCAGAACAUAGGGUGUGGUCCUGCUGAGGUUUUGAUUAUGCACCUCCUUCAUUGGGGUAUCAUAUUUUGUUUUUCUCCGUGGUUGUUUUUUUGUUUUUAAAUUAACGCACUGGAAUCUAACAUGUAAUAUGUGGGGAUGAACGUACUUAGUCGAAUACCGGACUGUAUUUUUAUGAAUUGUUAAGGACGUCUACAGGAUGAGAACACCCACAACAAAGUAUGGCAGCAUAGUCAUGAUGCUGGAAGACCUCUUGCAUUUAUAUCGGUUUGAGACCACAAUACUUGUACAGCGUUACAUCAAGGCUAAGACGAAACGUGCGCGUCGUAGGAUUGUAGAACAAGCCAGACAGUACAACGUCCUCAAUAAGGUUCCCAACCAACUACAUCACUUGGACAAACUCAUUCAUCUAACAGAUGUAGAUUGCAUAGAUAACCUCCGAAUGGACAGCAACACAUUUGGAAAGUUGUGUCGUAUUCUGGCAGGCCGGGGGGGUUACAAAUUGGUAAAUGUCUAGGGAUCGAAGAACAGGUAGCGAUAUUUGUUGGCGUUCUGGCACAUCACACAAAAAAUCGGAUCAUAAAAUUUAAUUUUACACUGUCUGGAUCCACGAUAUCCUAUUACGUCAAUAAAGUUUUAGGUGCUGUGUUUAGCCUUCAUGACAUAGUAUUUUCAAUGCCUACCCCGGUACCGGAGGACUGCAAUGACGACAGAUGGAAAUGGUUCAAGGGUUGCCUUGAUGGAACACACAUCGACGUCUUGGUGAGCACCAGCGAUAAACCACGGUAUCGCACGCGCAAAGGGUCUAUUGCCAUCAACGUGUUAGCUGUGUGCGACUGAGACAUGCAGUUUGUGUAUAUCCUACCUGGAUGGGAGGGGUCCGCGGGGGAUUCUCGUGUGCUAAGGGAUGCGGUGUCCAGACAAAAUGGCUUCAGAGUUCCCCAAGAUUGCUAUUAUUUAUGCGACAACGCAUACACUAACUGCAACGGCUUCUUAACUCCUUACAAAGGCGUCCGCUAUCAUCUCAAGGAAUGAGGGGUCGGAGAUGCAGCUCCACAAGAUCCCAAAGAACUGUUUAACAUGGAUCACAACAAGGCUAGGAAUGUAAUCGAACGAGCCUUUGCUGUGCUUAAGAUGCGUUGGGGGAUUUUGCGAAGUCCAUCAUUUUAACCAAUUCAAACCCAGAUCAGGCUGAUCAUGGCUUGUUUCCUUUUGCAUAAUUUCAUUCGGCGUGAGAUGAGUACUGAUCCCUUAGAAGACUCCCUUGCAGAAGUUGCUUCUACAAACAUUCGUGAUGACAAUUACGUCGCACAACAACACAUUGAUGUUGUGGAACCUUCGCAAGAGUGGACUGCACUGCGUGAUACCAUGGCCCUGAACAUGUGAAACAGUAGAUAGAUUGAAAUUAGUAAUUUAUUAAUGCUUAUUAUGAACUUGUGGGAUCCAUGUACUACUACCAAUACCAGACUAUUUGUUGUGAUGUUUUUUUCAGCCUGUGUCGUUAUGCACUUGUUUAUGGGGCUAAUACAAUACUGAGCUUGUUGUUUUCCUCUCAGCAAAUGUCUCAUCUCAUUGGAAACAUUGAUGGCAUUCCCCAGUGUGGGUGUGGAUCGGGGAUGAUGGAGAUGCGUCGUGCAAGUAAAGAAGCUAUCAACGCCGGAAGGUAUUACUUCAAAUGCCCCGCAAAUGUCAACCACCGUGGUUCAUUUAUGUGGUGUGAUGGGUACGUCAGAGGUAUGAGCGCAAAGCGUACAUUUGAUGACCGUGGAAACACUCUACAAUUAGGUGAGAAACGCCCACAUUUGAUUGCUGGAUCAGACUUCGCAGCUGGAUGUCGCCAAUGUUGCGUCAGCAACUCACCACUUGAUGUGAAGACCCUCUUCGUAAUUGGGUUUAUUGGAAUCCUCUUGGUUGUAUUUGGAAUUUUAAUUGGCAAGAUUAUGUAACAUGUAGGCGAACUUCACCUAUAGAUAUGUAUUAUGUUUGCAACUAUUUUAUCGCUGUAAUUGAUUUAGACGAGCACAAGAAAGAAAGAUAAUUAGAACUCA